Non-coding RNA from Phalacrocorax carbo (great cormorant), 1041 nucleotides. Lineage: Eukaryota; Metazoa; Chordata; Aves; Suliformes; Phalacrocoracidae. The record is from RefSeq and is a predicted model, not a curated record.
CGGCCGCGCCUCCCCCCGCCCGCCCCCCGCCCGCCCCCGCCCCCGCCCUCCCGCCGGCUCUCGGUGCGGGCCCGUCAUGUGAGCGGGGUGGGGGGAAGUUACCGGUGCCCCCCGCCGCCGCCGGCCGGCCGCGCAGCGGGCAGGACGGCCGCCCCCCCGCCCCGCCCGCCUUUCGCUCCGCUGUCUCGUUCGCGUUUGCGAGCAGAACGGGCCGGGAGCGGGGGGAGAAGCGCUUUUCCCAGCCGCGGAGCAGCAGGGCGAGCCGGAAUGGAGAUCCCCCCCCCCCGCAGCCUCCCCCCCAGCAGCCCUGUGGGCCGGGCUCGGCGCAGGGACGCGAGGGAGCGGCGGUCGGGCUGCCCGGCCCCGGGGCGGGCGGCACAUGGAGUGCAGGGUUUAUCUGCAAGGUAACCAUAAAGCGCUCUGUGGAUUUGGGAAGAAAGUUCACCCUCGCACGCCGGAGGCGGCCAGGUGUGAGUCGGCAGCUCUCAGUGAACACCGGCAGCUGGCAGCGGGGCGGAGGAGAGGCGCUGCCCGCGGCUGGGCGUGCGGGACCACCGCUGCCUUGACGCCUGGCGGCGGGGACGCCUGCACACGGAGGCACGGACAGCUGGCUCAGGAGCUGGCACCUGGCAGCAGAGCAACGCGCUCCGUGCCCUCGCCUGUGACGCUGACCGCAUCAGGAAGGCCUGACCGGGCAACACGGGCCGGCACGUGGAAAGGCCGCCUCUCCUCUGCCCCGUGCGGGCCCCCUGCAGGGACGAGCCCCGGGAUCCAGCCACCGCAGAGGGGCUGCUUGGCACCCCAGCAGGCGAGAAGCCAACACACAGCCCCAGCCACCCAGGGGCUGCUGCGGGGAGAGCCCCAGCUGCCGCUGCGCAGCAGGUCAGAGCAGGUCCCUCUGCUCCUGCCCAGGCAGCCAGUCGGUUUUUUUCAUCUCCUUCACUCUUUGCCUCUAAGUGUGCUAUUUGGGUCAUUUUCUAUAUGAUUGCAUGGCAGGUUGGCAGGAGACCAUAAGGUGCAUUCAUAAACACUUAGCAGACA